RNAcentral lists this ribosomal RNA (991 nucleotides) under uncultured bacterium. RNAcentral's name for it is "bacterial SSU rRNA". It matches the Rfam family "Bacterial small subunit ribosomal RNA", at positions 41 to 1025 of the family's 1533-position model. The record is from RNAcentral.
GGGAGGCUUAACACAUGCAGGUCGAGGGGCAGCACGAUGUUAGCAAUACGUUGGUGGCGACCGGCGCACGGGUGAGUAACACGUAUGCAACCUACCCUGUACAGGGGGAUAACCCGGAGAAAUUCGGACUAAUACCGCAUAAUGAUAUUUGAGGGCAUCCUUAGAUAUUUAAAGCUUCGGUGGUACGGGAUGGGCAUGCGGAACAUUAGCUAGUUGGCAGGGUAAUGGCCUACCAAGGCAAUGAUGUUUAGGGGACCUGAGAGGGUGAUCCCCCACACUGGUACUGAGACACGGACCAGACUCCUACGGGAGGCAGCAGUGAGGAAUAUUGGUCAAUGGGCGGAAGCCUGAACCAGCCAUCCCGCGUGCAGGAAGACGGCCCUAUGGGUUGUAAACUGCUUUUCCAGGGGGCGAAACUUUCCGAUGUAUCGGGAUUUGACGGUACCCUGGGAAUAAGCAUCGGCUAACUCCGUGCCAGCAGCCGCGGUAAUACGGAGGAUGCGAGCGUUAUCCGGAUUUAUUGGGUUUAAAGGGUGCGUAGGCGGAUCGAUAAGUCAGUGGUGAAACCCUGCAGCUUAACUGUAGACUUGCCGUUGAUACUGUUGGUCUUGAGUGUGGUCAAGGUAGGCGGAAUGUGUAAUGUAGCGGUGAAAUGCUUAGAUAUUACACAGAACACCGAUUGCGAAGGCAGCUUACUGGGCCAUUACUGACGCUGAUGCACGAAAGCGUGGGGAUCGAACAGGAUUAGAUACCCUGGUAGUCCACGCCGUAAACGAUGAUCACUCGCUGUUGGCGAUACACAGUCAGCGGAUAAGCAAAAGCAAUAAGUGAUCCACCUGGGGAGUACGGCCGCAAGGCUGAAAACUCAAAGGAAAAGACGGAGGCCCGCACAAGCGGUGGAGCAUGUGGUUUAAUUCGAUGCAACGCGAAGAACCUUACCUGGGCUUGACAUCCCGGGAAUCUUCUGGAAACAGGAGAGUGCCCUUCGGGG